RNAcentral lists this non-coding RNA (115 nucleotides) under unclassified sequences. RNAcentral's name for it is "drum RNA". It matches the Rfam family "drum RNA". From Rfam's summary of the family: Firmicutes, Bacteroidetes (1 example), Proteobacteria (2 examples), Spirochaetes (2 examples). Terminator (Clostridia) The record is from Rfam by way of RNAcentral.
AAGCGUUGAAGCAUAAUAGCGUACCGGGAUGCCUUGUUAUGCAGAGCUUUUCAGUAGGGGUUGUGCAGUAACCUCAAACCGGAGUAGGCUGCAAAGCCGAAAGAAAAUGCUCAAA